GAGAGUUUUCGGACAAUCUGGCUUCAGGUUCGGGACAACCACUGGAAACGGUGGCUAAUAUCGGAUAUGCCUUUAGAGGUGAAAGAUUAAUUGCCUGAAGAUGAGCUCGCGUCUGAUUAGCUAGUUGGUGGGGUAAGAGCCUACCAAGGCGACGAUCAGUAACUGGUCUGAGAGGAUGACCAGUCACACUGGGACUGAGACACGGCCCAGACUCCUACGGGAGGCAGCAGUGGGGAAUUUUCCGCAAUGGGCGAAAGCCUGACGGAGCAAUACCGCGUGAGGGAGGAAGGCUCUUGGGUUGUAAACCUCUUUUCUCAGGGAAGAACAAAAUGACGGUACCUGAGGAAUAAGCAUCGGCUAACUCCGUGCCAGCAGCCGCGGUAAUACGGAAGGAUGCAAGCGUUAUCCGGAAUUAUUGGGCGUAAAGCGUCCGCAGGUGGCAGUUCAGGUCUGCUGUCAAAGGUCAGGGCUCAACCCUGAACAGGCAGUGGAGACUGAACAGCUAGAGUGCGGUAGGGGCAGAGGGAAUUCCCAGUGUAGCGGUGAAAUGCGUAGAGAUUGGGAAGAACACCGGUGGCGAAAGCGCUCUGCUAGACCGUAACUGACACUCAGGGACGAAAGCUAGGGGAGCGAAUGGGAUUAGAUACCCCAGUAGUCCUAGCCGUAAACGAUGGAUACUAG
This 681-nucleotide ribosomal RNA is filed under the name uncultured cyanobacterium. Its description in RNAcentral is "bacterial SSU rRNA". It matches the Rfam family "Bacterial small subunit ribosomal RNA", at positions 108 to 819 of the family's 1533-position model. Lineage: Bacteria; Bacillati; Cyanobacteriota. The record is from RNAcentral.